This 499-nucleotide ribosomal RNA is filed under the name uncultured bacterium. RNAcentral describes it as "partial 16S ribosomal RNA". It matches the Rfam family "Bacterial small subunit ribosomal RNA", at positions 28 to 507 of the family's 1533-position model. The record is from RNAcentral.
GACGAACGCUGGCGGCGUGCUUAACACAUGCAAGUCGAACGGGCCCGCUCUCUUUUUUGGGGGUGGGUUGAGUGGCGAACGGGUGAGUAUCACGUGAGUAACCUGCCCCCUGCUCCUGGAUAACUGCUUGAAAGGGCGGCUAAUACGGGGUGUGCCGGCUGGUCCGCAUGGGCCUGGUCGGGAUAGUUUCAUCUUCGGGUGUUUCGGUGGGGGAUGGGCUCGCGGCCUAUCAGCUUGUUGGUGGGGUGAUGGCCCACCAAGGCGGUGACGGGUAGCCGGCCUGAGAGGGUGGGCGGCCACACUGGGACUGAGACACGGCCCAGACGCCUGCGGGAGGCAGCAGUGGGGGGUAUUGCACAAUGGGCGGAAGCCUGAUGCAGCGACGUCGCGUGAGGGAUGGAGGCCUUCGGGUGGUGAACCUCUUUCUCCGGUGGUGAAGGCCCUGUCCGUUGCGGCGGGGUUGACGGUAGCCGGGGAUGAAGCGCCGGCUAACUACGUG